UCGGAGAGUUUGAUCCUGGCUCAGGACGAACGCUGGCGGCGUGCCUAAUACAUGCAAGUCGAGCGGACAGAAGGGAGCUUGCUCCCGGAUGUUAGCGGCGGACGGGUGAGUAACACGUGGGUAACCUGCCUGUAAGACUGGGAUAACU
This 148-nucleotide ribosomal RNA is filed under the name Bacillus sp. G1(2015b). RNAcentral describes it as "partial 16S ribosomal RNA". It matches the Rfam family "Bacterial small subunit ribosomal RNA", at positions 1 to 148 of the family's 1533-position model. The record is from RNAcentral. Lineage: Bacteria; Bacillati; Bacillota; Bacilli; Caryophanales; Bacillaceae.